GAGCAAUCUGAAGUGUAUUCAUUGUGAUAAUGAAGCAAAGUUUAGGUGCAGCGAUUGUGGUCCAAUGGCAAAGUAUUGUGAGAACUGUAUGUUAAAGAUGCACACAACCGUAAAUAUUUGUCAUCAUGUUGAAAUAUUUAAGGAUGGCAUGUUUUGGCCAUAUAAACUCAUGAACAUGCUGGUGUAUGAUUGUUCAUGCCAAACAGCUCGUCACAAAAGAAGUGUUUCUGUUGUUGAUGUUAAAGGCACCUUUUGUACUGUUGAGAAUUUACAGACAUAAACUAAACAUGUUGAGCUGUGUUAUUCCUGAGCUUGAUGAAGGAAAUAUCUGUCCUACUUGUCCCAAAACUGAUGGUGUGAUCUUUGAGUCUCUUGAUGCUCUAUUUAUUGGAUGAAGGAAAAAGCUGGGCAGAGUCUUGGAAAACCUCUAUUUGGACAGCUGAUGUUCUAUGAUCAGACACAUGUUGAUCAAUUUGUUGCCAAUUAUACCACACCUACAUCAAACAAGG
Long non-coding RNA from Xenia sp. Carnegie-2017, 509 nucleotides. RefSeq lists it as uncharacterized. Lineage: Eukaryota; Metazoa; Cnidaria; Anthozoa; Malacalcyonacea; Xeniidae. The transcript has 5 exons. The record is from RefSeq and is a predicted model, not a curated record.